AACGCACCUUGCGCUCCUUGGCAUUCCGAGGAGCAUGCCUGUUUGAGUGUCAUGUUAACUCUCAGCCCUUAGGGGUUGGAAUGUGGAUGCCUGCGGGACCCGAUUUCCGCUCGUCUCAAAUGCAUUAGCGGGGUUUCCGGCUUAGCGAACCGUUGCUGGCGUUUAGUAAUGCUUGCGCCGCGCGGGGUUCAGCGGCACGCCUCUCCCGCUCACCAGCAGACGCUUUGGCGUCAAUGCUUGACUUCUGGCCUCAAAUCAGGUAGGACUACCCGCUGAACUUAA
Molecule: unclassified non-coding RNA, 282 nt
Filed under: uncultured fungus
Lineage: Eukaryota; Fungi
Description: partial contains 5.8S ribosomal RNA, internal transcribed spacer 2, and large subunit ribosomal RNA
Rfam family: 5.8S ribosomal RNA (bases 1-52)
Source: RNAcentral